This 482-nucleotide long non-coding RNA is filed under the name Androctonus crassicauda. Lineage: Eukaryota; Metazoa; Arthropoda; Arachnida; Scorpiones; Buthidae. The record is from RNAcentral.
AUUUACUAAUAAGUUGAUUUUUUAAUAUAUUAAAGACAAAAGUUAUCAUCAUAUCGAUGAUAAUUAUGAACAUAUCCAUGUGUUUUUUAUAUCUAAGUUAGGCCUAAUAAUAAUAAUAUUUGGAAAGAUCCAUCAUUCCGUGAAGAUGUUUAUAAUUUUAUUUGGAAGAGAACAAAACUUAUUUCUCCUCUACAAUUACGAAAAAUUAAAAUUUUCCCUGAUGAAGAUGAGAUGAUAGGCAUUUAUGGUUAUAUUUCAGAAAAUAAUCCAGAUAUAAAAACUGCUCCAGGCUGCAAUGAUAUUGAUGUUAUUACUGCUCUGGAAAACUUGAAGAUGGCAUUAAAUGAAACACUUAAUUUUAAUUCAACAGAUAUUAAACAGCAAUUAACGAUAACUUCUGUUAUGGUUAAUAUUUCAAAUAUAUAUAUUGAUCAACAAAAACUCAAAAAGAAUUCUAUAAAUGGAAAAAAAUAUAGCUCAGG